Molecule: ribosomal RNA, 585 nt
Filed under: uncultured bacterium
Lineage: Bacteria
Description: bacterial SSU rRNA
Rfam family: Bacterial small subunit ribosomal RNA
Source: RNAcentral
CCUACGGGAGGCAGCAGUGGGGAAUUUUGGACAAUGGGCGCAAGCCUGAUCCAGCAAUGCCGCGUGAGUGAAGAAGGCCUUCGGGUUGUAAAGCUCUUUUGUCAGGGAAGAAACGGUGGAGGCUAAUAUCCCUUGCUAAUGACGGUACCUGAAGAAUAAGCACCGGCUAACUACGUGCCAGCAGCCGCGGUAAUACGUAGGGUGCAAGCGUUAAUCGGAAUUACUGGGCGUAAAGCGUGCGCAGGCGGUUUUGUAAGUUUGUCGUGAAAUCCCCGGGCUCAACCUGGGAAUGGCGAUGAAGACUGCAAGGCUAGAAUCUGGCAGAGGGGGGUAGAAUUCCACGUGUAGCAGUGAAAUGCGUAGAGAUGUGGAGGAACACCGAUGGCGAAGGCAGCCCCCUGGGUCAAGAUUGACGCUCAUGCACGAAAGCGUGGGGAGCAAACAGGAUUAGAUACCCUGGUAGUCCACGCCCUAAACGAUGUCUACUAGUUGUCGGGUUUUAAUUAACUUGGUAACGCAGCUAACGCGUGAAGUAGACCGCCUGGGGAGUACGGUCGCAAGAUUAAACUUCAAAUGAAUUGACGG